Molecule: microRNA precursor, 83 nt
Filed under: Pelobates cultripes (western spadefoot toad)
Lineage: Eukaryota; Metazoa; Chordata; Amphibia; Anura; Pelobatidae
Source: RNAcentral
GUGUGUGUAUAUAAUGCAGUGUGUUUGUGUAGUGUGCAUUAUAUAAACACACUAUGCAAACACACUGCAUUAUAUGCAAACAC